GAUGAACGCUAGCUACAGGUUUAACACAUGCAAGUCGAGGGGUAACGAGAGGAAAGCUUGCUUUCCUUGUCGACGACCGGCGCACGGGUGAGUAACGCGUAUCCAACCUGCCCCCAACUAGGGAAUAACCUUGCGAAAGUAAGACUAAUACCCUAUAAUUUCCUCAGAUGUCAUCUGACGAGGAAUAAAGAUUGAUCGGUUGAGGAUGGGGAUGCGUCUGAUUAGCUUGUUGGCGGGGUAACGGCCCACCAAGGCAACGAUCAGUAGGGGUUCUGAGAGGAAGGUCCCCCACAUUGGAACUGAGACACGGUCCAAACUCCUACGGGAGGCAGCAGUGAGGAAUAUUGGUCAAUGGGCGGAAGCCUGAACCAGCCAAGUAGCGUGCAGGAUGACGGCCCUAUGGGUUGUAAACUGCUUUUAUACAGGAAUAAAGUUAGCCACGUGUGGUUAUUUGUAGGUACUGUAUGAAUAAGGACCGGCUAAUUCCGUGCCAGCCGCCGCCGUAA
RNAcentral lists this ribosomal RNA (506 nucleotides) under uncultured bacterium. RNAcentral describes it as "partial 16S ribosomal RNA". It matches the Rfam family "Bacterial small subunit ribosomal RNA", at positions 28 to 523 of the family's 1533-position model. The record is from RNAcentral.